GGGGCUGUAGCUCAGUUGGCUAGAGCGGUACGUUCGCAACGUAUAGGUCACGGGUUCGACUCCCGUCAGCUCCACCA
This 77-nucleotide transfer RNA is filed under the name Lentisphaerae bacterium ADurb.BinA184. RNAcentral's name for it is "tRNA-Ala". It matches the Rfam family "tRNA". Rfam says of the family: Transfer RNA (tRNA) molecules are approximately 80 nucleotides in length. Their secondary structure includes four short double-helical elements and three loops (D, anti-codon, and T loops). The record is from RNAcentral. Lineage: Bacteria; Pseudomonadati; Lentisphaerota.